RNAcentral lists this ribosomal RNA (301 nucleotides) under uncultured bacterium. RNAcentral's name for it is "partial 16S ribosomal RNA". It matches the Rfam family "Bacterial small subunit ribosomal RNA", at positions 509 to 809 of the family's 1533-position model. The record is from RNAcentral.
CAGUAGCCGCGGGAAUACCGAGGGUGCAAGCGUUAAUCGGAGUUACUGGGCGUAAAGGGCGCGUAGGUGGUUGCGUAAGUGAGAUGUGAAAUCCCCGGGCUUAACCUGGGACGUGCAUCUUAUACUGCGUAACUGGAGUGCAAGAGAGGGUAGUGGAAUUUCCGGUGUAGCGGUGAAAUGCGUAGAUAUCGGAAGGAACACCAGUGGCGAAGGCGGCUACCUGGCUUGACACUGACACUGAGGCGCGAAAGCGUGGGGAGCAAACAGGAUUAGAUACCCCCGUAGUCCCUGUCUCUUAUAA